CUUGAUGAAAGUGAAAGAGGAUCUGUAGUUUCCUUUACUCAUAGAACUACCUGUUAGAUCUGUGGCAAAGAACUACAAGACAUAG
RNAcentral lists this small nucleolar RNA (85 nucleotides) under Ovis aries (sheep). Lineage: Eukaryota; Metazoa; Chordata; Mammalia; Artiodactyla; Bovidae. The record is from RNAcentral.